Molecule: ribosomal RNA, 254 nt
Filed under: uncultured bacterium
Lineage: Bacteria
Description: partial 16S ribosomal RNA
Rfam family: Bacterial small subunit ribosomal RNA
Source: RNAcentral
UACGAAGGGGGCUAGCGUUGUUCGGAGUUACUGGGCGUAAAGGGUGCGUAGGCGGCCGUGUAAGUGUGGUGUGAAAUCUCCCGGCUUAACUGGGAGGGUGCGCUACAGACUGCAUGGCUAGAGUGUGGGAGAGGAAAGUGGAAUUCCUGGUGUAGCGGUGAAAUGCGUAGAUAUCAGGAGGAACACCGGUGGUGUAAACGGCUUUCUGGACCAUAACUGACGCUGAUGCACGAAAGCGUGGGUAGCAAACAGGG